RNAcentral lists this ribosomal RNA (2672 nucleotides) under Klebsiella pneumoniae. Its description in RNAcentral is "partial 23S ribosomal RNA". It matches the Rfam family "Bacterial large subunit ribosomal RNA". Lineage: Bacteria; Pseudomonadati; Pseudomonadota; Gammaproteobacteria; Enterobacterales; Enterobacteriaceae. The record is from RNAcentral.
CACUAUCGUUAACUGAAUACAUAGGUUAACGAGGCGAACCGGGGGAACUGAAACAUCUAAGUACCCCGAGGAAAAGAAAUCAACCGAGAUUCCCCCAGUAGCGGCGAGCGAACGGGGAGCAGCCCAGAGUCUGAAUCAGCUUGUGUGUUAGUGGAACGGUCUGGAAAGUCCGACGGUACAGGGUGAUAGUCCCGUACACCAAAAUGCACAGGUUGUGAACUCGAAGAGUAGGGCGGGACACGUGGUAUCCUGUCUGAAUAUGGGGGGACCAUCCUCCAAGGCUAAAUACUCCUGACUGACCGAUAGUGAACCAGUACCGUGAGGGAAAGGCGAAAAGAACCCCGGCGAGGGGAGUGAAAAAGAACCUGAAACCGUGUACGUACAAGCAGUGGGAGCACCUUCGGGUGUGACUGCGUACCUUUUGUAUAAUGGGUCAGCGACUUAUAUUCUGUAGCAAGGUUAACCGUAUAGGGGAGCCGCAGGGAAACCGAGUCUUAACUGGGCGUUAAGUUGCAGGGUAUAGACCCGAAACCCGGUGAUCUAGCCAUGGGCAGGUUGAAGGUUGGGUAACACUAACUGGAGGACCGAACCGACUAAUGUUGAAAAAUUAGCGGAUGACUUGUGGCUGGGGGUGAAAGGCCAAUCAAACCGGGAGAUAGCUGGUUCUCCCCGAAAGCUAUUUAGGUAGCGCCUCGUGAAUUCAUCUUCGGGGGUAGAGCACUGUUUCGGCUAGGGGGUCAUCCCGACUUACCAACCCGAUGCAAACUACGAAUACCGAAGAAUGUUAUCACGGGAGACACACGGCGGGUGCUAACGUCCGUCGUGAAGAGGGAAACAACCCAGACCGCCAGCUAAGGUCCCAAAGUCAUGGUUAAGUGGGAAACGAUGUGGGAAGGCACAGACAGCCAGGAUGUUGGCUUAGAAGCAGCCAUCAUUUAAAGAAAGCGUAAUAGCUCACUGGUCGAGUCGGCCUGCGCGGAAGAUGUAACGGGGCUAAACCAUGCACCGAAGCUGCGGCAGCGACACUAUGUGUUGUUGGGUAGGGGAGCGUUCUGUAAGCCUGCGAAGGUGUGCUGUGAGGCAUGCUGGAGGUAUCAGAAGUGCGAAUGCUGACAUAAGUAACGAUAAAGCGGGUGAAAAGCCCGCUCGCCGGAAGACCAAGGGUUCCUGUCCAACGUUAAUCGGGGCAGGGUGAGUCGACCCCUAAGGCGAGGCCGAAAGGCGUAGUCGAUGGGAAACAGGUUAAUAUUCCUGUACUUGGUGUUACUGCGAAGGGGGGACGGAGAAGGCUAUGUUAGCCGGGCGACGGUUGUCCCGGUUUAAGCAUGUAGGCUGGUUGUCCAGGCAAAUCCGGAUAAUCAAGGCUGAGGUGUGAUGACGAGGCACUACGGUGCUGAAGUAACAAAUGCCCUGCUUCCAGGAAAAGCCUCUAAGCAUCAGGUAACAUUAAAUCGUACCCCAAACCGACACAGGUGGUCAGGUAGAGAAUACCAAGGCGCUUGAGAGAACUCGGGUGAAGGAACUAGGCAAAAUGGUGCCGUAACUUCGGGAGAAGGCACGCUGGUGUGUAGGUGAAGUCCCUGCGGAUGGAGCUGAGACCAGUCGAAGAUACCAGCUGGCUGCAACUGUUUAUUAAAAACACAGCACUGUGCAAACACGAAAGUGGACGUAUACGGUGUGACGCCUGCCCGGUGCCGGAAGGUUAAUUGAUGGGGUUAUCCGUAAGGAGAAGCUCUUGAUCGAAGCCCCGGUAAACGGCGGCCGUAACUAUAACGGUCCUAAGGUAGCGAAAUUCCUUGUCGGGUAAGUUCCGACCUGCACGAAUGGCGUAAUGAUGGCCAGGCUGUCUCCACCCGAGACUCAGUGAAAUUGAACUCGCUGUGAAGAUGCAGUGUACCCGCGGCAAGACGGAAAGACCCCGUGAACCUUUACUAUAGCUUGACACUGAACAUUGAGCCUUGAUGUGUAGGAUAGGUGGGAGGCUUUGAAGCGUGGACGCCAGUCUGCGUGGAGCCAACCUUGAAAUACCACCCUUUAAUGUUUGAUGUUCUAACGUUGGCCCCUUACCGGGGUUGCGGACAGUGUCUGGUGGGUAGUUUGACUGGGGCGGUCUCCUCCCAAAGCGUAACGGAGGAGCACGAAGGUUAGCUAAUCCUGGUCGGACAUCAGGAGGUUAGUGCAAUGGCAUAAGCUAGCUUGACUGCGAGCGUGACGGCGCGAGCAGGUGCGAAAGCAGGUCAUAGUGAUCCGGUGGUUCUGAAUGGAAGGGCCAUCGCUCAACGGAUAAAAGGUACUCCGGGGAUAACAGGCUGAUACCGCCCAAGAGUUCAUAUCGACGGCGGUGUUUGGCACCUCGAUGUCGGCUCAUCACAUCCUGGGGCUGAAGUAGGUCCCAAGGGUAUGGCUGUUCGCCAUUUAAAGUGGUACGCGAGCUGGGUUUAGAACGUCGUGAGACAGUUCGGUCCCUAUCUGCCGUGGGCGCUGGAGAAUUGAGGGGGGCUGCUCCUAGUACGAGAGGACCGGAGUGGACGCAUCACUGGUGUUCGGGUUGUCAUGCCAAUGGCACUGCCCGGUAGCUAAAUGCGGAAGAGAUAAGUGCUGAAAGCAUCUAAGCACGAAACUUGCCCCGAGAUGAGUUCUCCCUGAGACUUUAAGUCUCCUGAAGGAACGUU